GGUCUUGUAGCACAGUGGUUAGUGCUUUGUACUUAUGGGAAAACAUCUAUGCAAGGGUCGCGAGUUCAAAUCUCGCCAAGACCA
This is a non-coding RNA of Serendipita sp. 401, 84 nucleotides long. Lineage: Eukaryota; Fungi; Basidiomycota; Agaricomycetes; Sebacinales; Serendipitaceae. The record is from the annotation of a GenBank genome assembly.